RNAcentral lists this ribosomal RNA (495 nucleotides) under uncultured bacterium. RNAcentral describes it as "partial 16S ribosomal RNA". It matches the Rfam family "Bacterial small subunit ribosomal RNA", at positions 28 to 507 of the family's 1533-position model. The record is from RNAcentral.
GAUGAACGCUGGCGGCGUGCCUAAUACAUGCAAGUAGAACGCUGACGGAGGCGUUUGCCUUUCUGGAUGAGUUGCGAAGGGGUGUGUUACGCGUAGGUAACCUGCCUGGUAGGGGGGGAUAACUAUGGGACACGAUAGCUAAUACCGCCUGACAACAGUUAUUGCAUGAUAACUGUAUAAAAGGGGCAACUGCUCCACUACCAGAUGGACCUGCGUUGUAUUAGCUAGUUGGUGAGGUAACGGCUCACCAAGGCGACGAUACAUAGCCGACCUGAGAGGGGGAUCGGCCACACUGGGACUGAGACACGGCCCAAACUCCUACGGGAAGGAGCAGGAGGGAAACUUCGGCAAUGGACGGAAGUCUGAACGAACAACGCCGCGUGGGUGAAGAAGGUUUUCGGAUCGUAAAACUCUUUUUUAAGGGAAAAACGAGUUUGGGAGUAGAAAGUUCGCACGAUGACGGUAUCUUACCAGAAAGGAACGGCUAACUACGUG